RNAcentral lists this ribosomal RNA (253 nucleotides) under uncultured bacterium. RNAcentral describes it as "partial 16S ribosomal RNA". It matches the Rfam family "Bacterial small subunit ribosomal RNA", at positions 524 to 776 of the family's 1533-position model. The record is from RNAcentral.
UACGAAGGGGGCUAGCGUUGUUCGGAAUCACUGGGCGUAAAGCGCACGUAGGCGGAUCUUUAAGUCAGGGGUGAAAUCCCGAGGCUCAACCUAGGAACUGCCUUUGAUACUGGGGACCUCGAGUCCGGGAGAGGUGAGUGGAACUGCGAGUGUAGAGGUGAAAUUCGUAGAUAUUCGCAAGAACACCAGUGGCGAAGGCGGCUCACUGGCCCGGAACUGACGCUGAGGUGCGAAAGCGUGGGGAGCAAACAGG